GUCCCGUUGAUACAUAAGGACGGU
This 24-nucleotide non-coding RNA is filed under the name Gossypium hirsutum (cotton). The record is from RNAcentral. Lineage: Eukaryota; Viridiplantae; Streptophyta; Magnoliopsida; Malvales; Malvaceae.